RNAcentral lists this long non-coding RNA (217 nucleotides) under Homo sapiens (human). RNAcentral's name for it is "HSALNT0202638". Lineage: Eukaryota; Metazoa; Chordata; Mammalia; Primates; Hominidae. The record is from RNAcentral.
AUUGAGGAAGCAGAGUACAUUAGGAAGGACAAACAGAAGAGAUCCAGCAUAUAACACCAUGGGAAGAGAAAGCAGGCAUGGGUAAAUGGCAAUACCCAAAUCAAACGGAGAUUCCCAGAGCCAUCCUGAAGCACAAAGUUACUUGUGUACUGCACUAAUUUGAUUGGCAUGUAAUAAAUUCAGCUACACCCAGUCAAACCUCUUCUAUGACAAUGCU